UACGUAGGGGGCAAGCGUUAUCCGGAUUUACUGGGUGUAAAGGGAGCGUAGACGGUUAUGUAAGUCUGGAGUGAAAGCCCGGGGCCCAACCCCGGGACUGCUUUGGAAACUGUGUAACUGGAGUACAGGAGGGGCAGGCGGAAUUCCUGGUGUAGCGGUGAAAUGCGUAGAUAUCAUGAAGAACUCCGAUCGCGAAGGCAAGUGUCCGGGGUGCAACUGACGCUGAGGCUCGAAAGUGCGGGUAUCAAACAGG
This 253-nucleotide ribosomal RNA is filed under the name uncultured Eubacteriales bacterium. RNAcentral's name for it is "uncultured Clostridiales bacterium partial 16S ribosomal RNA". It matches the Rfam family "Bacterial small subunit ribosomal RNA", at positions 524 to 776 of the family's 1533-position model. The record is from RNAcentral. Lineage: Bacteria; Bacillati; Bacillota; Clostridia; Eubacteriales.